UUUUAAAUGGCAGUGGGAGCUUUUGUUUGGGGGGCUUCCAAGAGUUCAUCAUGAAUGAAAGGACUUCUAUAAGCUUCCUAUAAAAUCAUUUAACAGAAAAUAUGUUCUAAAAGAAAUAAAACAUAUGAGUUCACUUUAGCAAAUCUGCAAAGCAAGCUUAAACAAAUCACUGUUUACUUAAUGGUUUACAUGUAAAUAAGUGCACAGCAGGGAGGUGUAAAAUUUUUUAAGUUCAAAAAAUAGCAGUGCAAUUUGGAAAAGAUGACAUGCCCUAAUUUUACCAUUCUGCUUCUAGCCAUUCAGUGGACAAACUUGGGUAUCUUUUCACAAAUCUAUACCACAUUUGGUCAAACUUUUACCUGCAUGCAUGUGUGUGCUUAUUUAUUUAUUUAUUUAUUAGAACUAUAAUUCGUUACAGAACUCUCACAGAUUGUGCUUAUAUAAUCAUAACAUAUGGAGUAAAGUUGAAAUGGAAAUUAGGACCUAUUUAACAACCUUUUGCACCUCCUUACAUCUAUUUCAUAGUCAUCCAACACUGACUCAGUUCAUCUUCAACACUCUUGAGCAUUUUAUCUACCAACAGUUUAUUCUUAAAGAGUCUACCUAGAUGGGAUUACGUAUCAUAUGUCAUAUCCAACAUGCUCAACAAACAUAC
Molecule: unclassified non-coding RNA, 655 nt
Filed under: Hevea brasiliensis (rubber tree)
Lineage: Eukaryota; Viridiplantae; Streptophyta; Magnoliopsida; Malpighiales; Euphorbiaceae
Source: RNAcentral